GACGAACCGUGCGAACGUUGUUCGGAAUUACUGGGCGUAAAGGGCGCGUAGGCGGCCUUCUAAGUCGGACGUGAAAUCCCUCGGCUUAACCGAGGAACUGCGUCCGAUACUGAAAGGCUUGAAUCCGGGAGAGGGAUGUGGAAUUCCAGGUGUAGCGGUGAAAUGCGUAGAUAUCUGGAGGAACACCGGUGGCGAAGGCGGCAUCCUGGACCGGUAUUGACGCUGAGGCGCGAAAGCGUGGGGAGCAAACAGG
Molecule: ribosomal RNA, 253 nt
Filed under: uncultured bacterium
Lineage: Bacteria
Description: partial 16S ribosomal RNA
Rfam family: Bacterial small subunit ribosomal RNA
Source: RNAcentral